Molecule: ribosomal RNA, 546 nt
Filed under: Sotalia fluviatilis (gray dolphin)
Lineage: Eukaryota; Metazoa; Chordata; Mammalia; Artiodactyla; Delphinidae
Description: partial 16S ribosomal RNA
Rfam family: Bacterial large subunit ribosomal RNA
Source: RNAcentral
CACCUCUAGCAUAACUAGUAUUAGAGGCACUGCCUGCCCAGUGACAACCGUUAAACGGCCGCGGUAUCUUGACCGUGCAAAGGUAGCAUAAUCACUUGUUCUCUAAAUAAGGACUUGUAUGAAUGGCCACACGAGGGUUUUACUGUCUCUUACUCUUAAUCAGUGAAAUUGACCUCCCCGUGAAGAGGCGGGGAUAAUACAAUAAGACGAGAAGACCCUAUGGAGCUUUAAUUAAUCAACUCAAAAAGCACAAAAUAAUACCACUAAGGGAUAACAAAGCUUUACAUGAGCUGACAAUUUCGGUUGGGGUGACCUCGGAGUAUAAAAAACCCUCCGAGUGAUUAAAACUUAGGCCUACCAGCCAAAGUAUACUAUCACUUAUUGAUCCAAAAUUUUGAUCAACGGAACAAGUUACCCUAGGGAUAACAGCGCAAUCCUAUUCUAGAGUCCAUAUCGACAAUAGGGUUUACGACCUCGAUGUUGGAUCAGGACAUCCUAAUGGUGCAGCAGCUAUUAAGGGUUCGUUUGUUCAACGAUUAAAGUCCU